This 427-nucleotide ribosomal RNA is filed under the name uncultured bacterium. RNAcentral's name for it is "partial 16S ribosomal RNA". It matches the Rfam family "Bacterial small subunit ribosomal RNA", at positions 355 to 774 of the family's 1533-position model. The record is from RNAcentral.
UAGGGAAUCUUCCGCAAUGGGCGAAAGCCUGACGGAGCAACGCCGCGUGAGUGAUGAAGGUCUUCGGAUCGUAAAACUCUGUUAUCAGGGAAGAACAAAUGUGUAAGUAACUGUGCACAUCUUGACGGUACCUGAUCAGAAAGCCACGGCUAACUACGUGCCAGCAGCCGCGGUAAUACGUAGGUGGCAAGCGUUAUCCGGAAUUAUUGGGCGUAAAGCGCGCGUAGGCGGUUUUUUAAGUCUGAUGUGAAAGCCCACGGCUCAAACGUGGAGGGUCAUUGGAAACUGGAAAACUUGAGUGCAGAAGAGGAAAGUGGAAUUCCAUGUGUAGCGGUGAAAUGCGCAGAGAUAUGGAGGAACACCAGUGGCGAAGGCGACUUUCUGGUCUGUAACUGACGCUGAUGUGCGAAAGCGUGGGGAUCAAACA